Suricata suricatta (meerkat) is the source of this 335-nucleotide long non-coding RNA. RefSeq lists it as uncharacterized. The record is from RefSeq and is a predicted model, not a curated record. The transcript has 3 exons. Lineage: Eukaryota; Metazoa; Chordata; Mammalia; Carnivora; Herpestidae.
GGAAAAGAAGACAAGGUUCGGAAUGUGAAUAAUAGUGAAGCAAGAAGUCCUCACAGGGCUUUGCACCGAGCAGGAUAACAGUGAAUACAAGCUAAACACAAAAGUUAAAUGUUCAGUGUUCUGGAGGGAACUUCUGAAUUUAUUGUAGCUGGUGCUCCUGCCUCAGCCAAGUAAGCCCACUACCAAAGGCCCUCAGCUCUGAAUUCUCAGUCUCAUUCCAUCCCACCUAACUAACGUCCUCUCCGGAAACCCUGUCCAAGCUCUGACUCGCUACUGUAUUUGAUCAAGCCAUUGGUCUCACAACUGAGGACUCAUUUACAAUCAAACUGCUCCAG